UACGUAGGGUGCAAGCGUUGUUCGGAUUUACUGGGCGUAAAGGGCGCGUAGGCGGUCAGCACAAGUCAGUUGUGAAAUCUCCGGGCUUAACUCGGAAAGGUCAACUGAUACUGUGCGACUAGAGUGCAGAAGGGGCAACUGGAAUUCUCGGUGUAGCGGUGAAAUGCGUAGAUAUCGAGAGGAACACCUGCGGCGAAGGCGGGUUGCUGGGCUGACACUGACGCUGAUGCGCGAAAGCCAGGGGAGCGAACGGG
This 254-nucleotide ribosomal RNA is filed under the name uncultured bacterium. RNAcentral's name for it is "partial 16S ribosomal RNA". It matches the Rfam family "Bacterial small subunit ribosomal RNA", at positions 524 to 776 of the family's 1533-position model. The record is from RNAcentral.